GCUAAAAACCUAGCUCUACCUAAACUGCAUAACACCCCCUCCCAUAUUACUCAUCUAAACUAAAACAUUUAUUCAUUUUAGUAAAGGGGAUUGAAAAAUUUACCGAAGCUAUAAAAUUAGUACCGCAAGGGAAAGGUGAAAUAUUAAUGAAAAACCUUUAAGCAAAGAAAAGUAGAGCCUAACCCUCGUACCUUUUGCAUCAUGGUUCAACUAGUUUAACCAAGCAAAAAGAAUUCAAGUUUGACUCCCCGAAACUAAGCGAGCUACUUCAGGGCAGCUUUAUGAGCCAACUCAUCUCUGUUGCAAAAGAGUGGGAAGACCCUCAAGUAGUGGCGAUAUACCUAACGAGCUUAGUGAUAGCUGGUUACUCAAGAAAAGAAUUUUAGUCCAACCUAAAGCCUCAACCUUUUAACAAAAACACCCUUCGACUUUAGAGCAAUUCAAAUAAGGUACAGCCUAUUUGAAACAGGAUACAACCCCUCUAGACGGGUAAAAUCCACGCUUCGACCCUUAAGUAGGCCUAAGAGCAGCCAUCUUUUAAAAAGCGUCACAGCUUAGUCAUUUCAAGCCACACAAUUUCUUACUUUAAUUUUAACCCUCCUACAGUACUGAGUAAUUUUAUACCCCUAUAAAAACUUUUAUGUUGAAACUAGUAACAAGAAGAAAGAACUUCUCUUAAAUGCAAGCAUAAGUCAUAAAGGACAAACCACUGACAACUAACGCUUAUGAACACAUAUUAGCAACUCUCCACAAGAAAAACCUAAUCCUACUUCACGUUAACCUAACACAAGAGCAUUUCAAGAAAGAUUAAAAGAAAAAGAAGGAACUCGGCAAAUAUUAACCCCGCCUGUUUACCAAAAACAUCGCCUCUUGAAUAAACAUAAGAGGUCCAGCCUGCCCAGUGACUAAUGUUCAACGGCCGCGGUAUCCUAACCGUGCGAAGGUAGCGUAAUCACUUGUUCUUUAAAUGAGGACUAGUAUGAAUGGCACCACGAGGGUUAUACUGUCUCCUUUCUCUGAUCAGUGAAACUAAUCUCCCCGUGAAGAAGCGGGGAUUUAUCUAUAAGACGAGAAGACCCUAUGGAGCUUUAAAUCUCUUUUCAAACGCUAAAAUACUUAUACAAGUCUUAGACUUACCCUACACACACCCAAGCGCCAUGAAAAUAAUUUUAGGUUGGGGUGACCGCGGAGCACAAAAAAACCUCCAUGCUGAACUAGGCGUCCAAACCUUGAGCUAAGAGCUACGACCCAAUGCACUAAAAAAUUAACACCAAUUGACCCAAUAUUCAUUUGAUCAACGAACCAAGUUACCCUAGGGAUAACAGCGCAAUCCAUUUCAAGAGUCCGUAUCGACAAAUGGGUUUACGACCUCGAUGUUGGAUCAGGGUCUCCCAGUGGUGCAGCCGCUACUAAUGGUUCGUUUGUUCAACGAUUAAAACCCU
RNAcentral lists this ribosomal RNA (1442 nucleotides) under Scinax exiguus. Its description in RNAcentral is "partial 16S large subunit ribosomal RNA". It matches the Rfam family "Bacterial large subunit ribosomal RNA", at positions 23 to 2597 of the family's 2925-position model. Lineage: Eukaryota; Metazoa; Chordata; Amphibia; Anura; Hylidae. The record is from RNAcentral.